GACGAACGCUGGCGGCGUGCUUAACACAUGCAAGUCGAACGGAAAGGCCCUGCUUGCAGGGUACUCGAGUGGCGAACGGGUGAGUAACACGUGGGUGAUCUGCCCUGCACUUCGGGAUAAGCCUGGGAAACUGGGUCUAAUACCGGAUAGGAGCCAUUUUUAGUGUGAUGGUUGGAAAGUUUUUUCGGUGUAGGAUGAGCUCGCGGCCUAUCAGCUUGUUGGUAGGGUAAUGGCCUACCAAGGCGGCGACGGGUAGCCGGCCUGAGAGGGUGGACGGCCACAUUGGGACUGAGAUACGGCCCAGACUCCUACGGGAGGCAGCGGUGGGGAAUAUUGCACAAUGGGCGCAAGCCUGAUGCAGCGACGCCGCGUGGGGGAUGACGGCCUUCGGGUUGUAAACUCCUUUCGCUAGGGACGAAGCUUUUUGUGACGGUACCUAGAUAAGAAGCACCGGCUAACUACGUG
Molecule: ribosomal RNA, 465 nt
Filed under: uncultured bacterium
Lineage: Bacteria
Description: partial 16S ribosomal RNA
Rfam family: Bacterial small subunit ribosomal RNA
Source: RNAcentral